RNAcentral lists this long non-coding RNA (322 nucleotides) under Homo sapiens (human). RNAcentral's name for it is "non-protein coding lnc-RELL1-4:1". Lineage: Eukaryota; Metazoa; Chordata; Mammalia; Primates; Hominidae. The record is from RNAcentral.
AUGUCUUCUCUUUCAGAAUAUGCCCUGCGCAUGUCUCGUCUCAGUGCUCAGCUAUUUGGUGAAGUCGCCAGGCCGACUGAUUCCAAGUCUAUGAAAAUGGUGACACUGUUUAGUGAACCACCCUUGGCCAAGAAGAAGGAGACUUAUGACUGGGUAUCCAGAUGACAACACUUACUCCACACUCAUGGGAACACUCUGGUUUCUUGGAUUCUGCAGAGAUGAGCAUCAGGAUUUUAAGGAUGAGCAAAGAUGACAAAAGAAGCUUCGUGGAAAGGGGAAACCAAAGAAAGGAGAGGGGAAAAGAGCAGCAUAAAAGAAAUAG